UGGGAUGAUUAUAAGAAAGGUAUGCCUCAUACACGAAACUAUAUGAGCUAAUUUUUUAAAACUAUCAUGUAACAAAAUGAUAAGGUGAUAAAAAAUUAGGGGUGAAAGGCUUUACAAAAAUAGUGAUAUCUUGAUUUCUUUUAAAUGUACUAGUACACUCACAUAUUUAAAGCUACAAGGUUUUAAAUGCAAAUUAAAUUUGAUUUUAUACUUUGUGGGGCAUAAAAACCAACACAAUAAAAGAGCAAAUAUUUAUUUCGUAAGAUUGUCAUUUUUAAAAGAAUGUGUAGUAAUUUUUGUAACAUUAAUAAUGUCACCAUAAGUAUUCAAGAGGUGUCAAUAGUGAACUCGGCAAUUAAGUUUUCAACUGUUUAUCAAAAACAUAGCUGUGUGAUACUACACACAGUGUUUUCUGCUCAAUGAUCAUUAAAUAGCCGCAGUACCUUGACUGUGCAAAGGUAGCGUAAUCAUUUGUCUUUUAAUUGGAGUCACGUAUGAAGGAAUAUAUGGGGACUUUCUUUACCAUUGGCAAUAUGACAAAUUACUUAAUGAGUGAAAAUACUCAUAUUUAAAUAAUAGACGAGAAGACCCUAGAAAUUUAUAUUAAUUUUUUGUUGGGGCAACAUGGUAACAAGUAACUUACUAUAUGUAUAUGAAAUUAAAUAGAUAACUUAAAUUACUCUAGGGAUAACAGCAUAAUAUUUGAAUGUUUGUGACCUCGAUGUUGGAUUAGGGAGUUAUAGUUUAGAAGACUUUUAACCUUGC
This 765-nucleotide ribosomal RNA is filed under the name Setobaudinia cf. hirsuta FK-2009. RNAcentral describes it as "partial 16S ribosomal RNA". The stretch from base 324 to 566 matches the Rfam family "Archaeal large subunit ribosomal RNA", at positions 1786 to 2143 of the family's 2987-position model. The record is from RNAcentral. Lineage: Eukaryota; Metazoa; Mollusca; Gastropoda; Stylommatophora; Camaenidae.